Molecule: long non-coding RNA, 1264 nt
Organism: Bos taurus (domestic cattle)
Lineage: Eukaryota; Metazoa; Chordata; Mammalia; Artiodactyla; Bovidae
Source: Ensembl
CCCAUGUUCUGGUAUUAUUUGACCUCAUUGUGUGUUAGGCGAAUGGACUUGAGCUUGAAAGCAGUUUCAUCCCUACCCAUUCCCCUUUGCCCACUUUGAAUGAAGCUGACCUCUAUGUGUGCAUGUUGGUUGUUCAGUCGUGUCUGACUCUGUGACCCCAUGGACUGUAGCCCACCAGGGUCCUCUGUCCGUGGAAUUCUCAGCAAGAAUACUGGAGUAGGUACCCAUUCUCUUCUCCAGGGGAUCUUCUUGACUCAUGGUUCAAACCCACCUCUCCUGCAUUGCAGGCAGGUUCUUUACCAUCUGACUCAUCAGGGAGACCCAGCUACCUUCUAUAUCAAAAGACAAACCAUGGAUAUUGACUCCUGUCUCGAAAAUUCAUCUAGUCACCACCCCCUUAUUUGCCAGCUUUGACUUCUGUGUGUGAAUUUUUGCUUUUUCUGGCUUUCCAACCCCCUUUCGAUUCCUCAUUUCAUCUCUGGAUGGUAACGUUAGCACCCACCCACUCCUUGUUGACAAUCAUUGUGGAUCUUUCUUGGAUCAACUUCCAUUCUCUUCUUCAUGUGUCAUUUGUAUAUUUUCCUCCAAUGCCCUUGCACAAUGACACAUGUCUUUGCAGAGAAGAGACACAUGUCUUCAGCCUGCCUCGCAGAAUAGACCAUCUUCUUGUUCAGAACCAGCUUGCUCAAAGUGCACUAUCUUGGCACCUCCUUCCUUUGUCUGCUACAGUUCAGUACUGAAGUUCUACUCUGCUAGACACUGAAGGUACAAAGAUGAGUAAGACAACAAUCCCUGCUUUGGGGGGAAACUUGCAGUAUGGUGGAAGAGAAAGAACAGCAAACAAGCAAAAUAUAUCAGUAAAGAUUCAGUUUGGGUGACCAACUUAGGCAAGAAAGUAGGGGAGUUAGAGGCAAUGAGUUUUUCAGUUUGUUGCAUCAUGUAACUUAAAAAGUUGAAGAGUAAACUGGCUUCAGGCAUGAUGUCAUCCAGGACCUCUAAUGAAGUCCUGAGGAAAGUAUCAUUCUCUCCAUUCUACUUUGCUCUGUCUUUAUUCUCAGAUAGCCUCUCUUUAUAUUAUUAUGUCCUCCACUCCCAUCCAGAUGCUGCAAUCCUAUUACACCAUUGAGGGUAGCUUAUAACCCCCAAGAAUAUAACUCUGUCCCAAUAGCUCUAGUACAAGUCUAGGAUGGGCCUCCUAUUGGCUUGAUUCAACUUACAUGCCUGUUUUUGAACCAGUUACAGUGGUCAAGUGCAUUGCUCUGAC